UGCCUUAACAGCGGCAUCUACGUCCGGCUAGUUUCCCCCAGCAUGUAACAACAUAAUACCAACUCUCACAGAGUCAUUCUUCUGUUGAGAGAAAAUGGGGCUUCAAAGAACAACUAACUCCACAACCAACAUACUACUUCACAAACAUCAACAAGACGAAAAACCACAUCUAUUUUUUGUUAUAAUAUUUGGUGGAGGCCCGUUAAUAAAUGUUGGACGCCAAACAUCGACACCUAUCUUACAGCAUGCCAGAGACUAAUACAGUGUUUCGACAAUUUCGAACCGGAAGAUUUACAGUUGAACAUUAUUUUUGUAUCGUUCGGACUAUUUAAUUCUAUAUAUUUCCAGUAAAUGAUUUAUUUGUGAAUAAUCAGAAUACACCAUUGAACAAUGACAUCAGCUGAAUAUCAAAGAACAUAUUAUUAUACGAGAAGAACUUU
Molecule: long non-coding RNA, 440 nt
Filed under: Mytilus galloprovincialis (Mediterranean mussel)
Lineage: Eukaryota; Metazoa; Mollusca; Bivalvia; Mytilida; Mytilidae
Source: RNAcentral